GAAGCGGCGACAGCUACGACAAGCAGCAGCAGGGUGCUGCUGAAGCGCGGCAUAUUUACUUCUCGAACCGAUCUACACUGUAUUGCGUUCGUGAAUUGCAAGAUGCUUGAUGUACCGCUGUUUAAAGCAGCUCUCAUACAAACGAUAUGCAGGUACGACUGCCGAAUAAAAACUCCGUACAAUUCCAAAAUGCGAAGGCCACGGCCGGCUCUGCGAAGGCCACACGCAUAAUGCUUAUCCCACCAGCACUCCUGGCUUUUGAAAAGGUCAGACCCCUUGGCGCGGCCCGCCGAGGGCUUCACAUUCUGGGCAAGAUAAUCAAGCCGCUUCAGCUCCCGAUCGAAUAUCGCCCGCCCGCGAAUUUUACGCACAUACGCGUCAAGCCCGCGUUCCCGGCUUUUGAGAGCUGGCCUUUGCGCGCCCGGCCGUGGCCUUCGCAUUUUGGAGUUGUACGGAGUUUUUAUUAAGCAGCUUGCAUCACGUUUGAGUGAGAGCUGCUUAAUAAAAACCGUCGUUUGAGUGAGAGGCUGCUUAAUGAAAACCCUCGUUUGAGUGAGAGGCUGCUUAAAGACGCUAACGCGACACCUCGCCUCUUCACGCUUGUCUUUUCAAUGUUUCAUUAUCUAUAAAAGAAAUAUGGUAGUAAUGAAAAGAGAACGAAGGAAGCUGGGGGACGUGUUGAGACAGGGCCCUGGUUAUAACAUGACGACGGGUGAUCGCGUUAAGUCCGCGUUAGCUCGCGUUAGUUCGCGUAACGGUGCGAAUCUUAACGUUAGGUGCGAAUGAGCAUGCUUUUGUAACGCAAAGAGCUAACGCACAACGGCUAUGGAAAAGCGGAAAUCGGCCCUUCUGGCCAAGUUUUUAAAAAUUUAUAAUUUACAGAUUGUAAAGGUUUAUUUGGAAAUAAACUUGCGUCGUUUUGGUCGACUUGAACAAUUCAUCCGUGCGUAUGUUGAAACGCGAAGCAUACGCGCAUGUGUAGCAAGGCGAUACGCAUGCGAUUCCAUAUUGCGAUUCGUGCGUGUGGGGAGACAAUGCGUAAAGCAAUUCGCGUCCACUCGCACAUCAAACGCACACAGUCCGCAAGGCUAUUUGCAUGCGAAUGCAUGUUGCGUAUCAUGCGUAUGAAGGCUGAUUGCGUAAAGCUUAACGCGGCCUAACACUCACCUUACGCACACAUGUCGCAACGCAUUUCGCAUGCUAAUACAUGCUGCGUUUCAUGCGUAUAAAGGCUCAUUGCGUCAAGCUUAAUGCGGCCUAAGCUAACACACAACAAGCACACACAAUUUACCUUUGAUGAAUCGCAUGACAUAACAAUUCACAUGCGAUGUUUUAAGUGUUGUCGCAUACGCAGUUCGUUAACCUUCACGCAGUUUCAUGAAUAACAUGCUUGGCAGCACUCAGGGGGGCCUUCCGCAAACGAAAUCGCAUCAGGCGCAGCCCUACAUCGUACAACAAUUCAUCAUACCAUCAAUAGAUGCCAGAAAGGUGGCGGGACAUGCCGCAUGCGAACGCGCACGCAAUUAGACCCCCGCCGUGAGAUGCGUCGGUGGCUGUGAGGCAGGUGGGGACAUGCCUGGGAGGCUGAAAGGGCUUCCGGACGCAUAAAUCGCACCAGGCGCCGUCGUACGCCGGACCAACGAUGCAUCAUAACAUUAACUAGCUGUUAGAAAGGCGUUAGGAAUAGGAGCAUCCAUACGCGCACGCAAUUAGACCCCCGCCGUGAGAUGCGUCGGUGGCUGUGAGGCAGGUGGGACUUGCCUGGGAGGCUGAAAGGGCUUCCGGAUGCAUAAAUCGCACCAGGCGCCGUCGUACGCCGGACCAACGAUGCAUCAUAACAUUAACUAGCUGUUAGAAAGGCGUCAGGAAUAGGAGCAUCCAUACGCGCACGCAAUUAGACCCCCGCCGUGAGAUGCGUCGGUGGCUGUGAGGCAGGUGGGGACAUGCCUGGGAGGCUGAAAGGGCUUCCGGAUGCAUAAAUCGCACCUAAAGCGCCUAAAGCGAAAUGAUUUAGCACCACCUAUAGAAAUAGAAAUGCACAUGUAUAGAACCAACAGUGCUGCAAGCCGCCAACACCCACGGUCCUGCCUUGCUGGAAUUCCCGGUGUAAUCCGACCUCGAAAUUGCAAUUUAGAAUGGACAACAUUUACAGAGAGCACCUGGCAAGAGCGCGGGGCAAUCCAGAUGGUCCUAUCACUGCUGGCAUGCUCCUAGCCCUCUAGGAGGAUUUCAAGAAGCUCGGAGACCAGAUGCUCGAUCUGGAAAAUGAGCAACAACUCUCCCGCAUGGAGAUGAUCAAUACAGCGAUACUUACCAACGGCGAUAAGAGCUUCGUAUGUCGCAGCCCUACUAUCCCUACGAACGCGGAGGGGGGUUGAGAAACUUAGGAGAAUGCUUAAGAACGAUAAGAACGUCUGAAGAACACGGAGGCGGCGGGUGUGCAUUCUUAAACAUUCUUACACUGGGAUUAAGCGGUUUUAUGUAAGUAUGUCAUAUAAGUAGGGUUGUUGAUUUUAUUAGAAUUUCAGGCGUUCUCUACUAAUUAUAAUAUUAUUUCUAAUUAGAACGUUAGAAAUAAUAUUAGGAGACCUGGGGUAACUUCUCAGGGAGGGGGACUUUUCACUUCGGAGUUUCACCAUGGUUACGGCAGAUGCUAACCCAGGUGUUUUUAACGGUUUUUACGGGGCUACGACACCCGUAAGCAGGACUUCUCAGCCAAACCCCCGGUCGAAGUGACCUCUGGGUCACUAAUUUCGCCUUUAAACUGUCUUAGACUGUCUUAAACUGUCUCUGCGUACGCCUUCCCAACAUCUUUGGUACCUGAACCAAGAGUCCAAGAGUCCAGUCCUAAUUGUCUGCAAAGCAACACCCAACACACAGUCCGGACAUGCCAAACCUGUCGCCCCAAAACUUCUAGAAAAAUCCAUAAGUGUAUGUUGCUUUAGGAGUCUUCGAAACUGGUGGUUUUGAUGGCCCAGCAUCAGCAUCAGCCAUUUUUCCUAGAAAAAUGUGCCGUUGCAGGCUGCGGAGGCGGCCUGAAUAGCCAUUCUAAUGGGUGUACGACAUUAGAACGUCCUAAUCUGUUCUCAAGGGGUCUUCUAACUUUCUCAUUAGAAUUCUAAUUAGUUUAAUUGUAAUAUUAUUUGUAAUUUCUAAUGCACCAACAACCAUACAUAUAAGUAUGCAUUAAGAAUGCAUCAGCCAUGAAAACAUUCUGUAAUGAAUGCCUGAUGGAGCUCUUAUAGUUCCGGAUAGGUAAUAUAUAUCAGUGAUUGCGAAACAGUGAACAUACCAUGAAAUUUCAUGAAAACCAUCAACAUGUGUCUGGGUCUAGACCUUAGAUCUAAUAAUGCGAGAUCUAACAGGUUUAGACCUGUUAGANNNNNNNNNNNNNNNNNNNNNNNNNNNNNNNNNNNNNNNNNNNNNNNNNNNNNNNNNNNNNNNNNNNNNNNNNNNNNNNNNNNNNNNNNNNNNNNNNNNNNNNNNNNNNNNNNNNNNNNNNNNNNNNNNNNNNNNNNNGGAAAAUGAACAAAAAGAGAUUUGGUGGCGUCUUGCGGUUGAUGGGGUGCCUAUGUUAGGAAAUUCCCAUCUUAGGAUGUCGCGCCCAACGAUAUGUGGUUGUGGAGGUUAUCCAAUAGGUUCAGUGGGAGGUGUAUCCCCUCGCUAUCAUCAUUUCUGGGCCUGUCCGGUGGCACAGGCAAUAGCAGAUCAACUUACUCUUUCAAUAGGAUUGCCAGUCUCAAGGGAGCAACUUUGGCUUAUCCAAGCCCCACAAUCAGUGCAACAAUGUGUUUGGGAUGUUGUGGCUCUUGCUGCGGUGUCAGCCAUGGAGCAUGGGAGACGUUAUAUGGCUGCAAACAUGAAAACCAACCCGGCACUGUUACCUGGUCCUUCCCUUACGGAAGAAGCAAUUUGUCGAGUUAUUAUUGAUUUUUGGGGCCGCAUUCAGGGUUUCGCAGCUUUAGGAAUUCCACGAAAAGGUUGGGAAUCCGUUGGCGCACAUCACCCCUUUUUGAGGAUUAUAUCUGGCAAAUUGAUUUGUUCGCGAGAGCGGUUACCGAUGAGAGGUUAAUUAUCUGAGAUGAUAAUCUUUUGGUAUAUUAGUCUCUACUGCAGUGCACGGCCAGCUGGCCCGAUGGCUCUACUCUUCGGGAGUCUGGAGCCCACUGUAACAACCACACACACACACAUCCUUGCAUCCUGGGGGAGUCUUGGCAGGAUGCGUUAACAUUAGGGCUGGGAAUUACGGUUACGGUCCUUACGGAGUUGCGCAUUACACCUUUCGCAAUUACGGUGACCCCCCAAAAGCACAGUAAAAUGACGGUCCUUACGGUGUAAUGCAAUUACGGUUACCAAAAGGUCCAAAUUACGGUCGGACCGCAAGCGUGCGAGCCAAUACCGACGACCACACCUCGAAACAUGCCAUUUCGUCCCUUGGAGCUACGGGAUAGUAUUAAAAAGCUUAUUAUACAUUAACCUAUGAUUAUGGCUGCUUGCAAAACAAAUUGCGGGAUGCGAGGCGAAGUGCAGUCUUGCGUACUGCUGAAGUCGCAAGUCGCAAGUUGCAAGUCGCAAGUUGCAAGUCGCAAGUUGCAAGUCGCAAGUCGCAAGGAACACGCAAAAUUUUCUAUUAUGAUAUUCUAUAUACGCGAAUACGUACGUGUGCAUACUCAGUUUGUAGAGCGGAUCUCACAAUGUUAACUUAACAUGCAUCCUGUCAGUUGGAUACAUCCUACACCCCCUUUCCAUAUCCUAGCUAACUGCCUAACACACGAAGUAACUUAAAUAUCGUUCUUCUUAUCUCACAGAACUAAAGCAAGAGUGUUACAAAAGAUCUUGCAGCAAAGCAACAUAUUUAGCUUACAUCUGUUACAGAUUUGGAAUUUUCGUAAAUGUGACUGUAGUAGCUGGUACACAGUACGGCUCUAUAAAUACGCGCGAAGCAGGACCACCAGCAUCUCGAGAGGCCUUUUCAGCGGCCAGCAACUACAUUUGGUAUCGAGACCUCGUGAAAAUUCACGAUCCUGAAGUCGUCGGUUCAGCCCCCACCAAUCACGCCUGGUGGAAUAUCGGGUUUGGUGACUCAGUGAGCGAUUAUCGCGAUAAUACUGUAGCUGAACCGACUAGACUAUCUCUGUGCCUGAAAAACCUUAAGACGUGGACUGGGCACCCACUGCCCGAGGGUAGGCGAAGGUAGGCACAGGCUGGUGGUAUACGUGGCCGUAAGGACCCGAGACGGAUCCCUUCAAAGGGGGGGGAAUGUAGUAGCUGGUAGACAGUACGGCUCUACAAAUACGCGCGAAGCGCGACCACCAGUAUCUCGAGAGGCCUUUUCAGAGGCCAGCUACUAUAGCGAGCCCGAGCAGCUCAACAGUGGCAGUGAAAUGUCUAUCUUACACCUCCAGAAAGUAUUUGCUAACUUAGAAUCAUCUAUUGAGAAAGCAUUUGCCCCUAGUAUGUAGGUUAAUGCGUGUAGACCACUGGCCCACCAUAACGAAACAGGAUAUAUCCUGAUUUCCUUUCUCUUGAUAUGAUGAGAAAUAUUCGCUGGUGUAAUUAGCGAGUUUAUACACACACCGAGCCUGGGGCCAUGGGCUGGCUCUACAGCCCUGCAAGGCUUGUGUUGGUGAGGCAAUCUUUACAAUUAUACACUCGAAGUGUUUGGUGAACAUGUAUGUUUGUAUGCGUAGACAUGUGAGCUCGAUACAGGCAGAUGCAUGGAUGGAAGUGUAUAGAGAGGCAUGCACAUAUUUUUUUUACAUAAGCGAAAUAGGCAUACGUGCUCACAUAGAUGGAUGAGACAGCUGUGAUAGCAUGUGUAGGCAGGUUGGACAGGGACAUGCUUACAUUCCAUUGACACCAGCAUAUGGCCCGGCAUACGGACAAGGAACACUUGUAAACACGGGUUACCCUGUCUGUUACCCCUCAGUACAAUAAUACCCCGACCCCUUUGUUACCCCUUGGUAAGGGGUUACCCCUACCCCUUUGUUACCCCUUGGUAAGGGGUUACCCCUACCCCGGGGUUAGGUUACCCACCUCCCUUUGUACAUACCCACAUGGGUAACCACUUACCCCUACCCCUACCCCUAACCCUAACCCCUGGGUUAUGCUUAAGGGGGGAUUACCCCUCGUUUUAUGCCAUAGGGAUAGUGUGUUUAGGAUUUAGGAUAGACAGCAAUCGGAUCGAUACUUAUCAGCUGGUGUAAUGUUGUCAUUUAUGAUGAACUUGAUUGUCUUCUUACAUGUGUAAUGUGUAUUUGUUUACGUAAAUACUUGGUACCCAGUGCUUGGUUUAAUACUGAAGUUCUUGAUAAUGAUUAUAAAUGUUACUUCAUAUUUUGUUUGAAGUUCUUGACACACGUUACUUCAUAAUUGCCUGAAGUUCUUCAUAAAUGUCACUUAAUAUUUGUUUGAAGGACUUAGUAUUCGGUACCAAGCGCUUCAAGUACCAUUAUGUGUGUGUGUGUGUGUUACAUGGUUGGGGGUGCGUGACCCCAUACCUGUAAGACUACCCAUACGAGCCGAAGGCCCAAGUACCAUUAGUAUGUAACAUGAUACUAAGUGAUCUACUAAGCGACUUAUUAAGAAUGUUACCAAGUAGCUAUGAAGUAGAUAUGAAGUGGGUAGCACUAAGUUGAUAUCGACCGUGCUGGAGUCAAGUAUUUUGUGACUAGCCAUGAUCUCAUCAUUGCUACCGAAGCACACUUAACGGAUCCAGUGCCAGACAAUGACGUGUCCCUUGAAGGUUUCCGCUUGAUGCGGGUGCAGAGGCCAGGAGACGCCGUACACGCUGACUAUAGAGGGGUUGCUCUUUACGUGCGUGAUACCGUCUCCCAUGGGGUUACCAUUGUCCGGAAGAACAACUGUCUUGCAGGCUGUGAGGUCCUGUGGAUACGUGUCAACCUCCUGUCAGGAAACAGCCUCCCGGUGGGGGCCUGUUACCUUACGCCCGAAGCUUCCAGAGUAUACCCAGCCGGAGGUGCAACUAAUGCACAGCAUGCAGCAGCGGCAGAGGCUACUUUCGCGAGAGUCCAACAAGAUAUUUCCGAGCUCCGGCAGCCGGGGGAGGAUGUGAUGCUUGCCGGUGAUCUAAAUGCCCGUCUAUCCAGUGCACUGCAUGCAAAGCACCGGUCCUCGCCUGCUGACCUGCCCGGGUAUGUUAAUGAUGUUCCAGAUUUAGAUCAGCUGACGGCAAUGCAGGAGUUCAUGGGCUUGCCGGGUGACGCGGACCCUCAGGGCUAUGCAGACGUGCCUGCAUGUAGGAGUGAGGACCUCGUCUGCAAUUUUGUUGGGCACCCGUUGGGUGCCCUGUGCCGAUCACAGGGACUGCUGGUAUUAAAUUGCCGAGGAUUUGGAGGGUCGUCUGACAUUUCCCAAAGGUGAAGCAGGUGGGAGCAUGAUCGAUCUUUUUGUUGGUUCUCCAGUGUUCUCGUACGUUCUCCAGUGUUCUCCGUACGUUCGGACGCGUCCAGCGUUUUUUUAAGUAAUAUAUUAAUAAAAAGAAAUAAACAAACAUUUUGGCCUUUGGAAAAAAAGAAUAAAAUGAGGCCGACCCGUCUGGUGUUAGUGAUGGUGCCGGGGUCGGUGGAGGAAGAGUGCCGGUUCUCGGCAAUGGGGUACUUGCAGGACCCCACCCUUAACCGCCUGGACGAGCACCUAGCAUUGUGUGUGCGAUUUUUUACCCAGGACCUGUUCGACCUGGGCACGUUCCCGUUCCGUGACGCACUGAGAGUGGCUGGACAGCAGCAGCAGGGGCCAGUACGUGAUGAACCGGUAAGAGUCCUAGUGUGCUGUGGUUUGCAGAGGCGGGUGGCGGCCUGUGAUUUGCUAUGCGGUUGCUUGCUUUGGGCCUUUGUUUGGUCGAUUUUACUUAUUGCUCACAAACAGUGCCAGAACUAUCUACGCAUGUGCACGAAGAGUUCACACACGAACGAAAACGCGCCAACUCAGUGCGUGACUCUUGGUCUAUGAGGGGAGUUGUGACUUAUCGUGGGGGGUCUGGGGGGCCCCGGAGCUUCCCCCAGCGCCUCACACUUAAGGAAUAAAUUACGACGACCCUAGCAGCUUUGACAGCCUAUGCAGCUGAGCACAGAAAGAGUCCGACACCGACGCGUACGGCAUCUUGGCCAGCCUUGCUCCGCUCUGGCCAUUGCCCACAAAACCUUUUGUUAGCAUCGUAUUAGUCAUUUAGCUGGUCAUUUGGGACAUUCCGGGGUGUGAGGUGCGGGGCUUCCCUUGGUACUUUACACCGGCUUAAACACUCCUGGUCUAUACCGUGUGUCUGUCACAGGGUUUGGCCCAGGGUAGCCACAGUAAUCCGCUCGCAACAACUGCUUUCAUUUAUGGCGGUGAUGAGCCGGUCUUUCUUCAACUAUUUCAACCAGGACACCCAGGAAAUAAGUGUAUGCAUCCAGCGCUCCAUGCAUGUACGACGGAUAGAACAAUCUAUCUGGACAUUAUAAGAUUCUCAUCAUCAAUCACGGAGGUACAAACUGCUGCACCACCUCAUCCACCACUUGCCAGGAGAUGCCCGGAACCACCCCCAGCGAACAGGCAUUGCUGGCGGCCCGCUGCAAACCACUCAAACUGAAGUCAAUGCGACCCCCGCCAACACAUGCCUCGCAGCCGUCCCACACGAAGAAGCUACCACCGUUCGGAGCCGUCACAGGAACGCCAUUCUUGAACACCAGGACUUUUUUGCCACACAGCCUGGCACGAUUUGCUGACAGCACAUUGCGGUCAAUGGCAAUGACGUUAUUAGUGUUGAGCUGAGCGAGAGUCUUGUAGGUGGGUGCAGACGGGUUAUAGCUGGCACAAUAGGGGUAGCCGUUGUUCUCUGGGAAGCCGCCGGGGUUUUGGGGGCACGUGGUGCGCAGGUCGUAGUAGUAGGUGCCACUGCCUGAUCCCGAGUAAAGGACUUUGCUACCACCACUGCAUGGGCGGCGGGGGACAGAUCGGGGCGAAGUGUGACGGGCAGGGUGGUGUACACACGCUUGGGGGGUUAUUAGUAGUCUAAUAGUAGCUAGACUCUGUCACAGAAGCAACAACAGCAAGCAGAGCGUGUCGAGUUCGUACACGCACCCUCGGAGACAGGCAUGCAGAGGGCACAUGGCUGCACGUGCAGUACUGAUCCCAUCUACCUUCGCAGAGGUUCCUAUCGCACGUACAUAUGCCACAUAUACCGUGCUGAGGACAGUCCGGACAGCUAGCCGGCAGGGGGAAGACAGGGGACCUGACGACACACAUGCAUGUGUGUUAUGCAUGUGUGCGUAUAUGGUACAUACCCUUGCGGUGCAGGGCCAUUGCUGCCGCAUGGCACAUUGAUGACCUGGCCAACUUGCAGCCUGGCGGGGUUAACUCCCGGGUUCAAGGACUGAAUGACGUCCACGGUGGUGCCGCGCCGCUGAGCGAUGGCCCAAAAGGUGUCACCAGGCUGGAUGGUGUACGUGCAGCCUGUGUAAAUUGAGUGAGGCAAGGGAAACACCCUACUUAAGCAAGUGCAGCGCCGCUGUGGCUCAUUCGAUCAUCACAUACAAGUUGGGUGUCGGCUUCCUCGAAAAAGGGCGGGGCCCCUCUGCAUCGUACAGGCCGGUAGCUACAGUGGCACGUGUCACAAUUGAUGGGUAGUGUCAACGCGGUGGGAGAUGUGCUUUGUUGCAGCAGUGCUGAUGGUGUGAGAGCUAAGCUUGCACCGGCGGAAUCGUCAGCACCGCCUGAGGGCUCCACGCGAAUCACAUCCAUUCCGGGUGCAUGCCGCAUGGACAGUGCGGCAGACCGCAAGUCGGAAUGUCCGUGCGGGCAAAUGGUAACGAAAGCUGGGUGAAUUUCGGUGCUGUCUGUGAUGUUUAUCCCCGAAGCGCCAGCGGCCUCAGCAAUCCGCCCCACAGCCGCGGGCUUCAUCAGGGCACACCGCAAGUCUCAGGAGGCCCCGUGCAUUGGCCAAAGUAAAUGUACAAACAAGCAGCUUGUGUAUUUCAUAGAGGAAUGAAAGCAAAUUAUGUUGGCCUGCUGGUGGCAAGUCGGAUUGCCCAUGCCGGCAAAUGGUAACACAAGCUGGGUGUUCGAGUUAUCACACGCCGUCAUCUCAGAAUUCCAUUGUGAGAUACGCGGCAGCUCUCGGGAUGAAAUUUAGCGCGAGAGGCGUUGAUGUGACUUUUGAGGUCGGUGAAUGGAGGCAGCUAAACUUGUUUGUGCUCAUACGGUCUUUGUUAGCUACAUGCGAGAUACCUUGCAAAGAGAAUGCUGUAUAGUACCGAUAACGCGUUUCAGCCGGGUGAAAUAUUAUGUUUGGUCCGUUACACACUCAAGGCCUGGGAGUUCGAGUUAUCAUACGCCGUCAUCUAAGAAUUCAAAUAUGAGAUACGCGGUACCUUUUGAGAUUAAAUUUAGCGCGAGAGGCGUUGAUGUGACUUUGGCCUCGGUCAAUUGAGGCAGCCAAACUUGUUUGUGCUCAUACGAUUUUUGUUGGCUACAUGCGAGAUACCUUGCAAUAGAGAAUGCUGUAUAGUACCUUUAACGCGUUUCAGCCGGGCGAGAUAUUAUGUUUGGUCCGUUACACACACACACACACACACACACACACACACACACACACACACACGGACAUGGGCAAUCCUACAGGUCGGGGCCCCCCUGGGCGCUUCGCGCUGGGGCCCCGCCCAAAAAUAUCGCCUCAACACACUUCUGGCCACAGGUCUGCUGCACUUUUCUAAAGUGUGGUGCGUGUGUAGUGACUGCCUGCUGGGUAGAUGGGGAGGAUGCAACAGCAGACGCGCAGCAGCAGGCGUAUGUUCAUUAUGUGUACAACAGCUAGCUUGCAAUCAUGUAUGUGCCGUACUGGACAUAUCCGUCAAUACUACGAUAGCAAGCCAUCGGCGACGGCUUUCGGUUACCAUUUCUCUAUUUUAAUCCUAUGUUUCAUCACUAGCAUAUCAUAGUAUGCAUAUUAUGGGAUGGUGCCAGCGGUUGGACCCAACAGCUAUAAACGAAGUACCGUCCGGUGUUUCUCAGAGGGGGACUUUCGAGUUGAUUAGUUCACUACUGUUUUUAUUUACUCAGCAGCUGGUUCAGGGUUUGCAAAUUCACAAUAAAUUGCUGCGAAGGAUGAUUAUUUUAUUACCUCCUCCCUCUGAAACACUCAACAAACGCAAAAUGCAAGUGGGAUGACACCCAAGAACGAGCUAGCCAUAGGCCUAGGUAAUCCCCUUGUAAACGCUCCUUCGCCAGCUGUGUUCGCAAUAGCACCGCCUCUCAUUGACGAUCGAUCGCCUCCGGACUGCUGGGGAUGACAGACGAUGGCUCCGCCGUCACCACUUCCACACUACUAUUACUUUGACACAAAUCUUAAAAUCUGUAUGUUUUCUGAGUGAAACGAAUUUUUUUGACCAGGCUCGCCCCUUCCCACGGAAGCAAGCACGGCUUUCCUGCCUGCAGGUACCCCUCCGUCUGUACGACCCCUAAGCGGCCGCGGUAAGGCAACUACGCAAGAAAUCCUAAACAGGCAGUCAUGUGUCUAUAUACCUGCACCACCUGCGAGCAAGCAAGUGCAUGUGCUUACCUCUGGCAGGUGGAGCAGUGGAGGUCGGCGUUGAUCUGACCCAGCAGGCACACACGGUACGUAUGGGAUUGAUUAGAGGCACUGUGCUCUUGGUGAUAAGAAAUCGAAUUCCUUAAAACAAAUAAUAAAGUAAUUGGGUUUUUCGGCCCGGGGAAAAAGGAAUGGAUUCACGUCGCUCUGGCUGCCCACACAAGCUCAUUCCUUUUGGCCAUAGGUGGCCUGAAAGUCGUGUCCGGAAAUGCAUUAAUACCAGCACGAAUAGCAGUGAUCAUUAAUAAACCAACUGCACUCGGUAGAUUCUGGAACAUUAGGUGGUCGGCGGUGCUUGCGUGUUACGGUACAAGCACAUGUAGCCUAUGAGCUCCUAUUUCGUGUUUUCCCACGCAGUAAUUUCAUACAUACAUACAUACAUGUGCGUACGUACCCUCCUCCUCCUGAGCACGGCACAUUGAUGACCUGGCCGACUUGCAGCCUGGUGGGGACAACUCCCGGGUUCAAGGACUGAAUGACGUCCACGGUGGUGCCGCGCCGCUGAGCGAUGGCCCAAAAGGUGUCACCAGGCUGGAUGGUGUACGUGCAGCCUGCGUAAAUUGAGUGAGGCAAGGGAGACACCCUACUUAAGCAGGAGCAGCGCCGCUGCGGCUCAUUCGAUCAUCACAUAAAAUAUCGCCUCAACACACUUGUGCCCACAGGUCUGCUGCACUUUCCUAAAGUGUGGUGCGUGUGUAGUGACUGCCUGCUGGGUAGAUGGGGAGGAUGCAACAGCAGACGCGCAGCAGCAGGCGUAUGUUCAUUAUGUGUACAACAGCUAGCUUGCAAUAAUGUAUGUGCCGUACUGGACAUAUCCGUGAAUACUACGAUAGCAAGCCAUCGGCGACGGCGCUCGGUUACCAUUUCUCUAUUUUAAUCCUAUGUUUCAUCACUAGCAUAGCAUAUCAUAGCAUGCAUAUUCAUCUAUGGAAUGUUGCCACGUUUAGAGCUUGCAUAACCCAUCUGCAUAACAAAAUGUACAGUACAGAGCGGAGAGCUGAUCACUUGUCGGUUGCAGAGUGCGUUUCCUCCUUUCUGUCCCUAGGGCAUUAAAUUUAACUAUGUUAUAAUGUUCUCUAUCUGAUUUGUAAAUGGUCAUGAAGCCGCAUCCUUUGACAUGAUGAGUCCAACAGCCGACGUCGUUGGUUUCCAGUUGGAGCCCAGCCGACGCUCUGGGGAGCCCUCGGCCACAUCGCAACCGCCAAAAUGGAGUCCUCAAAAGCAACACAUACAUUUAGCCAGGCCGCAAAAACAGGCCUGGAAGGCUCCCGGAAGCUGGCAGGUGCAGGUGCCGCUCAGCUGCAUCAAGGUGCUUCAAGGCCCCAAACUACCUUGAAGCGUUAGGAUGGAUAAAAUGAAGAGUGUAGCUGCUGUAUUCUGGGCAUAUUACGGGAUCUGCGCCCGCCGAUCGAUACUUUUCUGACGCCGUGAUACAACUCUAGCACCGCUCAGCACCGCCGAGCAAUCAGUGCAAUCGUAGGUCAGUCGGCAUGCAGAUGUCAACAUAUGAUGUCAACAUUUAACCAUCCCACGUGCAUGCGUGCCGAGGCCUACCUCUUAAAGAGCAGGGCAAAUAUACAGUAUAUACUGACGUGAUGUCGGAAAAGCGAUGUAUGUGAUGGGAUUGAAUGACGGCACACCUACCUGAUGCCAGCAAGCGCCGGCUGCUGUCGCCAUCAGCGGCGCAUGUGUCGACGAUGAACGCGGAAGCGGCGACAGCUACGACAAGCAGCAGCAGGGUGCUGCUGAAGCGCGGCAUAUUUACUUCUCGAACCGAUCUACACUGUAUUGCGUUCGUAAAUUGCACGAUGUUUGAUGUACUGCUGUUUGAAGCUCUCCUAGCUGCUUUCAAGUGCGCAGACGCAUUCAACAUUAACCUCAGCGGAAGCUUUUAUGCAGCCCCUUGCAAAAACGUGAUUCAGGGUACGACCUGAAGAAACUGCCCGUACAAAGCAAAAUGCGAAGGCGACGGCGGGCCUCGCAAUUUGUGUAAAAUCCGCGGGCAUGCGAAAUUCGGCUUGGGCGGCUUAAGCGGCUUAAUUAAGCUUGGCAAGCAGAAAUCUUCAGAAUAAAUGAGCUGCUUAAGUGCGAAAAAGCAAAAACAAAGAAAAUAAAGCGAAAACAAAAAGACGGAUAAGGGCCGGGCUCCACUGAUUUGUUUGUUAGCGCGUUUCCAAAUUCCUGAAAAGACGCUAACGCGACACCUCGCCCCUUGACGCUUUUUAUUUCAAUGUUGCAUUACCUAUGAAUGAAAAUGGUAGAAAUGAUAAGAGAACGAAGGAAGCUGGGGCGACGGUGAAGAACGUAGGGCCCGUGUUGAGACAGGGCCCUGGUUAGGACAAAGCCAAUAAACUUUAACGCGAAAAUUUCUUUGCUCUAUUUUGAAUCGGCUUACGCCCAGUCCCCUUUGGAUAUCUCGCCUACGCUUUGAAGUGCUCGCCGCGUUGACUUUCGCUGACAUACAGCAGGACAACCUGCCGUCCCAGUUUCCCACCCCAACUUUGCCCACGCAGCUUUACAGUAUCCUUCAGUCUACAAUGGCGCAGCCCUUGCAGGGUCCGCCCCGUCGCCUCGACGCAUGGCACCAAGGACAUCAGAAGGGGCACCAGCCCGGUUACCAACAGCAAAAGAAUGUCCCCUCGCAUUUUGCUAUUGCAAUGUGCAACAGAAAUGCAGGAUAGGCGCCUUUGGGCGCUAAAAAACGGAAAAGGGUGGUUUCGGGGCGGCAAGCGGAAACGGAUUGGUAGCGGCGCAAUGAUUUUUUUUUCGAAGUUAACAAGCGACUCAGUGGAGCCCCCUGUAAGGAAUACACCAACAUAAAGGAAAGCUCGUGGCACGCGGGAAGAAAGCCGCAAUGUUAAAAAAGGAAACAUUCAAUAGAAAUAAGGACUUCAAUAGUUUGGCUUGCUGAGAAGCUCGGCGACAGGGUCGCAAAGGGCAGCCUUCAUAAGCAGCAGGCAUGGGCAAGGGUGGAGCUGGCCUUCAUCCGACCCCAGAGGAGCCUUGCAAGGUCGCUCGGUUUCUUGUGUAAUCACCAAGCAGUAUUAAACCUGGGCACAUGCAGCUUCGGUCGGCGCGGCAGGCCGAUGAUAGCAGUGUGCUGUUCUCAAGUGCGCAACGGUAGUAUGCUUCAGACGACACAACCACACAAUGGUGGUAUCGAAGGAUACCGAUUGAGACAAGUGUAUUGAAUAAAUAAUCAUCAGUGACUCCACUUGGGCCUCGCGCCGACAAGUCCCCAGUACGACUGGGCGGCGCGGUAACCCUGCCCGGGCGGCCGCCCGCCCGGCCGCCAGGGCGAUGGAUUCAGGGCGAUGACCUGGAUCCUGCACUUUUGGUACAGGGCGAUGGAUGACAUACAACAAAGGUCCCACUUGGCAAGAGAACAUAAGCCUGCCGACUUAGAACAAUUCAGUACUCCUUAAAUGAAUAAAAUGAAUAGAACGCUGCUAAAACAAUCAGUGUUGGAAAAUAUAGAUGGCGCCGCAAUGCUCACCUUCUGAUCCCCAUAAAGCCUUGAGACAGAAAGCAUAAGACAUAAUUGGAUGACGUCCCAGUAGCUUAAGUACUCAGUCCAUUGCUGGCACAUGUACAGCAAGCUGACGUAUGGAUACGCGGGAAGCCCAUGACCCAGUCUCUUGCCGUUUCGGACAUAGGGACCGUAUAGGCGUAAUGCCAGCGUCACGUGGAUAGCGAAGGCUCCCUAUGUGCGGCAUUCUUUGAUAGCGAUGAGCACGCUCGCUAGUAGCGUGCGUCUUUUUACAGACUAUCAGUAGCCGCCGCAGCUAACAGUAGCCGCAAGUAAACUAAUAUCAGUAUUAGUUAGACCUGUAAUCACCGACAGCGGACAUAUAGACAGGUAAUAGUUAGUGACAGUGAAGUUAGCAAAACAGACCAGACGAGCUCACUGCCGACAGUUAUGUGUGUGUGGUUGUUACAGUGGGCUCCAGACUCCCGAAGAGUAGAGCCAUCGGGCCAGCUGGCCGUGCACUGCAGUAGAGACUAAUAUACAAACUAGACAGUUAGGCUACGGAGCUGCAAGCUGUGCAGGCAGCUUACAGGAUACAACACUCUCGAGAGGAGCAUAUGCUAGCAUGUGCUCCUAGCCCUCUAGGGGGAUUUCAAGAAGCUCGGAGACCAGAUGCUUGAUCUGGAAAAUGAGCAACAACUCUCUCGCAUGGAGAUCAUCGAUCUCCAGGGCCGGUUCAGUAAGCUAGGAACCGACCUGAGCGGCAUCACGAUGGACGCUCCUGGAGUGAUCAGCAGCAACCGGUUCUUUUACUCGGACAGCAUCAUCAUCACGUCGGCGAGGUGUCGCGUUAGCGUCUUUUCAGGAAUUUGCAAACGCGCUAACAAACAAAUCAGUGGAGCCCGGCCCUUAUCCGUCUUUUUGUUUUCGCUUUAUUUUCUUUGUUUUUGCUUUUUCGCACUUAAGCAGCUCAUUUAUUCUGAGGAUUUCUGCUUGCCAAGUUUAAUUAAGCCGCUUAAGCCGCCCAAGCCGAAUUUCGCAUGCCCGCGGAUUUUACACACAUUGCGAGGCCCGCCGUCGCCUUCGCAUUUCGCUUUGUACGGGCAGUUUCUUCAGGUCGUACCCUGAAUCACGUUUUUGCAAGGGGCUGCAUAAAAGCUUCCGCUGAGGUUAAUGUUGAAUGCGUCUGCGCAUUUGAAAGCAGCUAGGAGAGCUUCAAACAGCGGUACAUCAAACAUCGUGCAAUUUACGAGCGCAAUACAGUGUAGAUCGGUUCGAGAAGUAAAUAUGCCGCGCUGCAGCAGCACCCUGCUGCUGCUUGUCGUAGCUGUCGCCGCUUCCGCGUUCAUCGUCGACGCAUGCGCCGCUGAUGGCGACAGCAGCCGGCGCUUGCUGGCAUCAGGUAGGUGUGCCGUCAUUCAAUCCCAUCACAUACAUACGCUUUUCCGACAUCACGUCAGUAUAUACUGUAUAUUUGCCCUGCUCUCUAAGAGGUAGGCCUCGGCACGCAUGCACGUGGGAUGGUUAAAUGUUGACAUCAUAUGUUGACAUCUGCAUGCCGACUGACCUACGAUUGCACUGAUUGCUCGGCGGUGCUGAGCGGUGCUAGAGUUGUAUCACGGCGUCAGAAAAGUAUCGAUCGGCGGGCGCAGAUCCCGUAAUAUGCCCAGAAUACAGCAGCUACACUCUUCAUUUUAUCCAUCCUAACGCUUCAAGGUAGUUUGGGGCCUUGAAGCACCUUGAUGCAGCUGAGCGGCACCUGCACCUGCCAGCUUCCGGGAGCCUUCCAGGCCUGUGGGUUUUUGCGGCCUGGCUAAAUGUAUGUGUUGCUUUUGAGGACUCCAUUUUGGCGGUUGCGAUGUGGCCGAGGGCUCCCCAGAGCGUCGGCUGGGCUCCAACUGGAAACCAACGACGUCGGCUGUUGGACUCAUCAUGUCAAAGGAUGGGGCUUCAUGACCAUUUACAAAUCAGAUAGAGAAGAUUAUAACAUGGUUAAAUUUAAUGCCCUAGGGACAGAAAGGAGGAAACGCGCUCCGCAACCCGACAAGUGAUCAGCUCUCCGCUCUGUACUGUACAUUUUGUUAUGCAGAUGGGUUAUGCAAGCUCUAAACGUGGCAACAUUCCAUAGAUGAAUAUGCAUGCUAUGAUAUGAUAUGCUAGUGAUGAAACAUAGGAUUAAAACAGAGAAAUGGUAACCGAGCGCCGUCGCCGAUGGCUUGCUAUCGUAGUACUGACGGAUAUGUCCAGUACGGCACAUACAUUAUUGCAAGCUAGCUGUUGUACACAUAAUGAACAUACGCCUGCUGCUGCGCGUCUGCUGUUGCAUCGUCCUUAUCUACCCAGCAGGCAGUCACUACACACGCACCACACUUUAGAAAAGUGCAGCAGACCUGUGGGCACAAGUGUGUUGAGGCGAUAUUUUAUGUGAGGAUCGAAUCAGCCACAGCGGCGCUGCUCCUGCUUAAGUAGGGUGUCUCCCUUGCCUCACUAAAUUUACGCAGGCUGCACGUACACGUACACCAUCCAGCCUGGUGACACCUUUUGGGCCCUCGCCCAGCGGCGCGGCACCACCGUGGACGUCAUUCAGGCCUUGAACCCGGGCGUUGUCCCCACCAGGCUGCAAGUCGGCCAGGUCAUCAAUGUGCCGUGCUCAGGAGGAGGGUACGUACGCAUGUAUGUAUGUAUGUAUGAAAUUACUGCGUGGGAAAACGAAAUAGGAGCUCAUAGGCUACAUGUGUGUGUGUGUUACAUGGUUGGGGGUGCGUGACCCCAUACCUGUAAGACUACCCAUACGAGCCGAAGGCCCAAGGGCAAUACUACAACGCCUAAAAGCCACGGAGAAAAGGAAAAAAAAAGGCUACAUGUGCUUGUACCGUAACACGCAAGCACCGCCGACCACCUAAUGUUCCAGAAUCUACCGAGUGCAGUUGGUUUAUUAAUGAUAACUGCUAUGAGUGCUGAUAUUAGUGCAUUUCCGGACACGACUUUCGGGCCACCUAUGGCCAAAAGGAAUGAACUUGUGUGGGCGGCCAGAGCGACGUGAAUCCAUUCAUUUUUCCCAAGUCCGAAAACCCCAAUUUAUUUCUUAUUUUAUUGAAUCUGAUUUCUUGUCACUAAGAGCACAGUGCCUCUAAUCAAUCCCAUACGUACCGUGUGUGCCUGCUGGAUCAGAUCAAUGCCGACCUCCACUACUCCAGCUGCCAGAGGUAAGCACAUGCACUUGCUUGCUCGCAGGUGGUGCAGAUAUAUAGACACAUGACUGCCCGUUUAGGAUUUCUUGCGUAGUUGCCUUACUGCUUAGGGGUCGUACAGACGGAGGGGUAGGAAAGUUGUGCUUUUGCUUCCGUGGGAAGGGGCGAGCCUGGUCACAAAAAAUUCGUUUCACUCAGAAAACAUACAGAUUUUAAGAUUUGUGUCAAAGUAAUAUUGUCAGAAAGAGGUGGAAUAGAUAGUAGUGUGGAAGUGGUGACGGCGGAGCCAUCGUCUGUCAUCCCCAGCAGUCCGGAGGCGAUCCAUCGUCAAUGAGAGCGCGGUGCUAUUGCGAACACAGCUGACGAAGGAGCGUUUACAAGGGGAUUACCUGGGCCUAUGGCUAGCUCGUUCUUGGGUGUCAUCCCACUUGCAUUUUGCGUUUGUUGAGUGUUUCAGAGGGAGGAGGUAAUAAAAUAAUCAUCCUUCGCAGCAAUUCUAUUGAAUCUGCAAACCCUGAACCAGCUGCUGAGUAAAUUAAAACAGUUAUGAACUAAUCAACUCGGAAGUCUCCCUCUGAGAAACACCGGACGGUACUUCGUUUAUAGCUGUUGGGUGCGACCGCUGACACCAUCCCAUAAUAUGCAUACUAUGCUAUGCUAGUGAUGAAACAGAGAAAUGGUAACAGAACGCCGUCGCCGAUGGCUUGCUAUCGUAGUAUUGACGGAUAUGUCCAGUACGGCACAUACAUUAUUGCAAGCUAGCUGUUGUACACAUAAUGAACAUACGCCUGCUGCUGCGCGUCUGCUGUUGCAUCCUCCCCAUAUACCCAACAGGCAGUCACUACACACGCACCACACUUUAGGAAAGUGCAGCAGACCUGUGGGCACAAGUGUGUUGAGGCGAUAUUUUAUGUGAGGAUCGAAUGAGCCGCAGCGGCGCUGCACUUGCUUAAGUAGGGUGUUUCCCUUGCCUCACUCAAUUUACACAGGCUGCACGUACACCAUCCAGCCUGGCGACACCUUUUGGGCCCUUGCCCAGGGGCGCGGCACCACCGUGGACGCCAUUCAGGCCUUGAACCCGGGCGUUGUCCCCACCAGGCUGCAAGUUGGCCAGGUCAUCAAUGUGCCAUGCGGCAGCAAUGGCCCUGCACCGCAAGGGUAUGUACCAUAUACGCACACAUGCAUAACACACCUGCAUGUGUGUCAUCAGGUCCCCUGUCUUCCCCCUGCCGGCUAGCUGUCCGGACUGUCCUCAGCACGGUAUAUGUGGCAUAUGUACGUGCGAUAGGAACCUCUGCGAAGGUAGAUGGGAUCAGUACUGCACGUGCAGCCAUGUGCCCUCUGCAUGCCUGUCUCCGAGGGUGUGUGUACGAACUCGACACGCUCUGCUUGCUGUUGUUGCUUCUGUGACAGAGUCUAGCUACUAUUAGACUACUAAUACCCCCCAAGCGUGUGUACACCACCCUGCCCGUCACACUUCGCCCCACUCUGUCCCCCACUGCCCGCGCAGUGGUGGUAGCAAAGUCCUUUACUCGGGAUCGGGCAGUGGCACCUACUACUACGACCUGCGCACCACGUGCCCCCAAAACCCCGGUGGCUUCCCAGAGAACAACGGCUACCCCUAUUGCGCCAGCUAUAACGCGUCUGCACCCACCUACAAGACUCUCGCUCAGCUGGGCAGUAAUAACGCCAUUGCCAUUGACCGGAAUGUGCUGUCAGCAAAUCGUGCCAGGCUGUGUGGCAAAAAAGUCCUGGUGUUCAAGAAUGGCGUUCCUGUGACGGCUCCGAACGGUGGUAGCUUCUUCGUGUGGGACGGCUGCGAGGCAUGUGUUGGCGGGGGUCGCAUUGACUUCAGUUUGAGUGGUUUGCAGGGGGCCGCCAGCAAUGCCUGUUCGCUGGGGGUGGUUCCGGGCAUCUCCUGGCAAGCGGUGGAUGAGGUGGUGCAGCGGUUUGUACCUCCGUGAUUGAUGAUGAGAACCUUAUAAUGUCCAGAUAGAUUGUUCUAUCCGUCGUACAUGCAUGGAGCGCUGGAUGCAUACACUUAUUUUCUGAGUGUCCUGGUUGAAAUAGUUGAAGAAAGACCGGCUCAUCACCGCCAUAAAUGAAAGCAGUUGUUGCGAGCGGAUUACCGUGGCUACCCUGGGCCAAACCCUGUGACAGACAACGGUAUAGACCAGGAGUGUUUAGGCCGGUGUAAAGUACCAAGGAAAGCCCCGCACCUCACACCCCGGACCGUCCCAAAUGACCAGCUAAAUGACUAAUACGAUGCUAACAAAAGGUUUUGUGGGCAAUGGCCAGAGCGGAGCAAGGUUGGCCAAGAUGCCGUACUCGUCGGUGUCGGACUCUUUCUGUGCUCAGCUGCAUAGGCUGUCAAAGCUGCUAGGGUCGUCGUAAUUUAUUCCUUAAGUGUGAGGCGCUGGGGGAAGCUCCGGGGCCCCCCAGACCCCCCACGAUAAGUCACAACUCCCCUCAUAGACCAAGAGUCACGCACUGAGUUGGCGCGUUUUCGUUCGUGUGUGAACUCUUCGUGCACGUGCGUAGAUAGUUCUGGCACUGUUUGUGAUCAAUAAGUAAAGUUGACCAAGCAAAGGCCCAAAGCAAGCAACCGCAUAGCAAAUCACAGGCCGCCACCCGCCGCUGCAAACCACAGCACACUAGGACUCUACCGGUUCAUCACGUACCGGCCCCUGCUGCUGCUGUCCAGCCACUCUCAGUGCGUCACGGAACGGGAACGUGCCCAGGUCGAACAGGUCCUGGGUAUACAUCCGCACACACAGUGCCAGGUGCUCGUCCAGGCGGUUGCGGGUGGGGUCCUGCAAGUACCCCAUUGCCGAGAACCGGCACUCUUCCUCCACCGACCCCGGCACCAUCACUAACACCAGACGGGUCCGCCUCAUUUUAUUCUUGCCAAAAUGCCUGUUUAUCCCUUUUAAGUAAUAUAUUACUUAAAAAAAACGCUGGAUGGAGAACACCGGCCGAACCAACAAAAAGAUCGAUCAUGCUCCCACCUGCUUCACCCUUGGGGAAGGUCAGACGACCCUCCAAAUCCCCAGAAACACGGCAAUUUAAUACCAGAAGUCCCUGUGAUCAGCACAGGGCACCCAACGGGUGCCCAACAAAAUCGCAGACGAGGUCCUCACUCCUACAUGCAGGCACGUCUGCAUAGCCCUGAGGGUCCGCGUCACCCGGCAAGCCCAUGAACUCCUGCAGUGCCGUCAGCUGAUCUAAAUCUGGAACAUCAUUAACAUACCCGGGCAGGUCAGCAGGCGAGGACCGGUGCUUUGCAUGCAGUGCACUGGAUAGACGGGCAUCUAGAUCACCGGCAAGCAUGACAUCCUCCCCCGGCUGCCGGAGCUCGGAAAUGUCUUGUUGGACUCUCGUGAAAGUAGCCUCUGCUGCUGCUGCAUGCUGUGCAUUAGUUGCACCUCCGGCUGGGUAUACUCUGGAAGCUUCGGGCGCAAGGUAACAGGCCCCCACCAGGAGGCUGUUUCCUGACAGGAGGUUGACACGUAUCCACAGGACCUCACAGCCUGCAAGACUGUUGUUUUUCCGGACAAUGGUAACCCCCUGGGAGACGGUAUCAUGCACGUAAAGAGCAACCCCGCCAUAGUCAGCGUGUACGGCGUCUCCUGACCUCUGCACCCGCAUCACGCGGAAACCUUCAAGGAACACGUCACUGUCUGGCACUGCAUCCGUUAAGUGUGCUUCGGUAGCAAUGAUGAUCACAUGGCUAGUCACAAAAUACUUAACUCCAGCAUGGCCAAGUUUUAUGACCCCUGUCUCCGGCAACCCAUAGACAUUCCACAACAAAACCUUCAAUCCUCUUUGCCCUGGGCUCGCGUUAUCCUAGUAUCCACUUCAGCAGGCAGGCCUGCAAACCGGUCAGCACUAGUAUGCUCGCCAGCCUGGUCAUGAGGUCGGUUAUCAGCUCUGCUGCUGGGCCCUGCAUGUCCCUCCCGGCUUCUAAUUGUUCCCUUGUCAACCCCAGAGCUUCAACUCCCACCACGGCUGUCUCGAUCCUGGUCCUUUGCACUCCUCCGCCCAGAGUGAAGCCGUCAAUGUCCAUGGUGGGGCCGGUGGCAAAGCUGGGCCUCGAAUCCCGAGGUGCUGGUGCCUGGUUUCGGGACUGGUCAAGCCUUCUAGGUGAUGCUGAGUACAUGAGCCUGUAUACUGGCUCUGUGCGUGGGUAUUUGCCUCCUUUUGCCUUUACUGCACUCAGUGAAGCCACGUGUGUUUCUCGGAUCUUCAUACCCAGCUGCUGUCUGUAAGACGGUGGAGCUGGUGGUGGGGCGGCUGGUGAUGAUGCCAUUGGCAUGGGAGGUGGUGGUGGCGGUGGUGGUGGUGGUGGCAUGCUGCCACCGGCAGCGGCACCACUGCUACCAGUAACACCGACUCCGCCUGUAUGGCCCUCAGAAGGCAUAUUUACAGCGUCGUCAUCAUUCUCAGCAUCCAUUCUCCGCCUUCUCCACCAUCGCUGUCGUCGUCACUGUACUGACUUGGGUAUGGCACCGGUGCUCCCCCGUUCGGUCUCUUCUUGUAAUACAGCUCCGCCCCGUUACACCACAUGGGGAUCCACUGCUUCACCUUAAUCACCUGCCACAUGGGCCGUAGCCUUGACCUUUCAGCACGCACUUCCUUGGUGAGCGAGUCGUCUACCCGAAGACCCAACCUUUUCAGGUCAGGUGCAGCAUUAAAGUAUUUGGACCGGUCUUUCCACCUGAUGUCAAUGAACCAGCUCUUCGUGUUGCGAUCUGGCCUCUCAAUAUGAGUGAGAAGACCGCUUGGCCAUUGCCCACAAAACCUUUUGUUAGCAUCGUAUUAGUCAUUUAGCUGGUCAUUUGGGACGGUCCGGGCUGUGCGGUGCGGGGCUUUCCUUGGUACUUUACACCGGCCUAAACACUCCUGGUCUAUACCGUGUGUCUGUUACAGGGUUUGGCCCAGGGUAGCCACAGUAAUCCGCUCGCAACAACUGCUUUCAUUUAUGGCGGUGAUGAGCCGGUCUUUCUUCAACUAUUUCAACCAUGACACUCAGGAAAUAAGUGUAUGCAUCCACGCAUGUAUCCAUGCAUGUACGACGGAUAGAACAAUCUAUCUGGACAUUAUAAGGUUCUCAUCAUCAAUCACGGAGGUACAAACUGCUGCACCACCUCAUCCACCACUUGCCAGGAGAUGCCCGGAACCACCCCCAGCGAACAGGCAUCGCUAGCCGCCCGCUGCAAACCACUCAAACUGAAGUCAAUGCGACCCCCGCCAACACAUGCCUCGCAGCCGUCCCACACGAAGAAGCUACCACCGUCCGGAGCCGUCACAGGAACGCCAUCCUUGAACACCAGGAUCUUUUUGCCACACAGCCCGGCACGAUUUGCUGACAGCACAUUGCGGUCAAUGGCAAUGACGUUAUUACUGCCCAGCUGAGCGAGAGUCUUGUAGGUGGGUGCAGACGGGUCAUAGCUGGCGCAAUAGGGGUAGCCGUUGUUCUCUGGGAAGCCGCCGGGGUUUUGGGGGCACGUGGUGCGCAGGUCGUAGUAGUAGGUGCCACUGCCUGAUCCCGAGUAAAGGACUUUGCUACCACCACUGCAUGGGCGGCGGGGGACAGAGUGGGGCGAAGUGUGACGGGCAGGGUGGUAUGCACACGCAUGGCGGUUUCUUAGCAAUUUAAUAGUAGCUAGACUCUGUCACAGAAGCAACAACAGCAAGCAGAGCGUGUCGAGUUCGUACACGCACCCUCGGAGACAGGCAUGCAGAGGGCACAUGGCUGCACGUGCAGUACUGAUCCCAUCUACCUUCGCAGAGGUUCCUAUCGCACGUACAUAUGCCACAUAUACCGUGCUGAGGACAUUCCGGACAGCUAGCCGGCAGGGGGAAGACAGGGGACCUGAUGACACACAUGCAUGUGUGUUAUGCAUGUGUGCGUAUAUGGUACAUACCCUUGCGGUGCAGGGCCAUUGCUGCCGCAUGGCACAUUGAUGACCUGGCCAACUUGCAGCCCUGCAGGGUCAACUCCCGGGUUCAAGGACUGAAUGGCGUCCACGGUGGUGCCGCGCCGCUGAGCGAUGGCCCAAAAGGUGUCGCCAGGCUGGAUGGUGUACGUGCAGCCGCUGCCGCUGCUUGGUGCUGCUGAAUUGAAUUGAAUUGGGGGAACAAGCAAAUGCAAAGGAGACAUAAAGGGGCAAUCACAUCCUACGUAUGUAGGCCAGUCAGCUAGCAACCUUGCUUCAUGUAGUCACGGCCUUGCGGCAGCUGUGGAAAAUAUAAAUAAAUGAUCAGUCCUGCAGGGUAGGUGUAUUGCCGUAGGUCACAGGUGCGUGAUCACCAGAACCAAAGCUGCACUUUCGACACAAUGCAUGACGCGCCAGUUGGAAACCAGCCUGGCAGGGAUUCAUCUCUGUAUUGCCUAGUGUAAUGUUAGUGAAUUUUAUUAAAUUUUAGUAAAAUACAACAGCGCAGCCUCAGCGGUCGCACCCAACAGCUGUAAAGAAAGUACCGUCCGCUGUUUCUCAGAGGGGGACUUUCGAGUUGAUUAGUUCACUAAUGUUUUAAUUUACACAGCAGCUGGUUCAGGGUUUGCAGAUUUACAAUAGAAUUGCUGCGAAGGAUGAUUGUUUUAUUACCUCCUACUUCUGAAACACUUCAACAAACGCAAAUGCCAAUGAGAUGCACCCAAGCACGAGCUAGCCAUAGGCCUAGGUAAUCCCCUUGUAAACGCUCCUUCGUCAGCUGUGUUCGCAAUAGCACCGCGCUCUCAUUUACGAUGGAUCGCCUCCGGACUGCUGGGGAUGACAGACGAUGGCUGCGCCGUCACCACUUCCACACUACUAUCUAUUCCGCCUCCUCCUGACAAUAUUCCCUUAGCACAAUUAAUAUUUAAACGGGCAGUCAUGUGUCUAUAUAUCUGCACCACCUGCGAGCAAGCAAGUGCAUGUGCUUACCGCUGGCAGCUGGAGCAGUGGAGGUCGGCGUUGAUCUGAUCCAGCAGGCACACACGGUACGUGCGGGAUUGAUUAGAGGCACUGUGCUCUUGGUGAUAAUUCCUUAAGAAUUCCUUAAAAACUAAUAAAGAUUGGGUUUUUCGGCCCGGGGAAAAAGGAAUGGAUUCACGUCGCUCUGGCCGCCCACUCAAGUUCAUUCCUUUUGGCCAUAGGUGGCCCGAAAGUCGUGGCUGGAAAUGCACUAAUAUCAGCACUCAUAGCAGCUAUCAUUAAUAAACCAACAGCACUCGGUAGAUUCUGGAACAUUAGGUGGUCGGCGGUGCUCAUACAUACAUACAUCGAGUUUGGCACUACACUGAGUUUGGCACUACUGGUAAGGCGCGACCAUUGCUCCCGGGAGAUCCCGGGAUCGAUAACCAUUAGGGUCAAAGUCCUUCCGAUGUUGGAAGGCAUUGCGCCCCUAGUUGACGGUGGUGACCUGGGAUAAAGUUAACCUGCGAGCCGACCAGGAACGGAGUUGCGCCGCUGUCGACCUGGCAGAGUCCGUUGGAUGCUGGUGGUGGGUGCGGAACCUGAGCGAUCCACUGAGAAGUUGACUAGGGUGACUGGAUGAGGGUGCCCGGAAAUACCGGGGAAGGCAGGGUUUCGCAGGGUAGCUGCCACGGGGGAAGAUACACCCCCCUGUUUCACACAUCAUACAUCGAUGUGCAUACGUACCCUCCUCCUGAGCACGGCACAUUGAUGAACUGGCCGACUUGCAGCCUGGUGGGGUCAACUCCCGGGUUCAAGGACUGAAUGACGUCCACGGUGGUGCCGCGCCGCUGGGCAAGGGCCCAAAAGGUGUCACCAGCUUGGAUGGUGUACGUGCAGCCUGCGUAAAUUGAGUGAGGCAAGGGAAACACCCUACUUAAGCAGGAGCAGCGCCGCUGCGGCUCAUCCGAUCCUCACAUAAAAUAUCGCCUCAACACACUUGUGCCCACAGGUCCGCUGCACUUUUCUAAAGUGUGGUGCGUGUGUAGUGACUGCCUGCUGGGUAGAUAGGGAGGAUGCAACAGCAGACGCGCAGCAGCAGGCGUAUGUUCAUUAUGUGUACAACAGCUAGCUUGCAAUAAUGUAUGUGCCGUACUGGACAUAUCCGUCAGUACUACGAUAGCAAGCCAUCGGCGACGGGACGGCGCUCGGUUACCAUUUCUCUGUUUUAAUCCUAUGUUUCAUCACUAGCAUAUCAUAGCAUGCAUAUUCAUCUAUGGGAUGUUGCCACGUUUAGAGCUUGCAUAAUCCAUCUGUUUAACAACACAUGAUGAGUCCAACAGCCGACGUCGUUGGUUUCCAGUUGGAGCCUGUAACGACGCAAAUGCCAAUCUGAGCAUCCCGGGUUACGCCUUUGCUGUGUUACAAUGGUAUCGAGACGGGACCGCACGAAUUCCGAAAUAAACUUCGGGUCGGCGGUUUGAUUCUGGCAACCAGCAAGUCGCAAAUUGGCGAUUUCAUGGUGUAAUGGAUAAACCAGCGCACUGGCGCGAGGUGGGAUGGCUCCUGUGCUCGAAAUAAUGGCCGAGGACGUCCAUUGCUAAGUGGGGGGCAAUGUAACGACGCAAAUGCCAAUCUGAGCAUCCCGGGUUACGCCUUUGCUGUGUUACAGAGCCCAGCCGACGCUCUGGGGAGCCCUCGGCCACAUCGCAACCGCCAAAAUGGAGUCCUCAAAAGCAACACAUACAUUUAGCCAGGCCGCAAAAACCCACAGGCCUGGAAGGCUCCCGGAAGCUGGCAGGUGCAGGUGCCGCUCAGCUGCAUCAAGGUGCUUCAAGGCCCCAAACUACCUUGAAGCGUUAGGAUGGAUAAAAUGAAGAGUGUAGCUGCUGUAUUCUGGGCAUAUUACGGGAUCUGCGCCCGCCGAUCGAUACUUUUCUGACGCCGUGAUACAACUCUAGCACCGCUCAGCACCGCCGAGCAAUCAGUGCAAUCGUAGGUCAGUCGGCAUGCAGAUGUCAACAUAUGAUGUCAACAUUUAACCAUCCCACGUGCAUUCGUGCCGAGGCCUACCUCUUAGAGAGCAGGGCAAAUAUACAGUAUAUACUGACGUGAUGUCGGAAAAGCGUAUGUAUGUGAUCGGAUUGAAUGACGGCACACCUACCUGAUGCCAGCAAGCGCCGGCUGCUGUCGCCAUCAGCGGCGCAUGUGUCGACGAUGAACGCGGAAGCG
RNAcentral lists this long non-coding RNA (27378 nucleotides) under Volvox carteri. RNAcentral describes it as "long non-coding RNA (VCAR_LNC003038)". Lineage: Eukaryota; Viridiplantae; Chlorophyta; Chlorophyceae; Chlamydomonadales; Volvocaceae. The record is from RNAcentral.